GACGAACGCUGGCGGCGUGCUUAACACAUGCAAGUCGAACGGAAAGGCCCUGCUUUUGUGGGGUGCUCGAGUGGCGAACGGGUGAGUAACACGUGAGUAACCUGCCCUUGACUUUGGGAUAACUUCAGGAAACUGGGGCUAUUACCGGAUAGGAGCUCUUGCUGCAGGGUGGGGGUUGGAAGGUUUCGGCGGUUGGGGAUGGACUCGCGGCUUAUCAGCUUGUUGGUGGGGUAGUGGCUUACCAAGGCUUUGACGGGUAGCCGGCCUGAGAGGGUGACCGGCCACAUUGGGACUGAGAUACGGCCCAGACUCCUACGGGAGGCAGCAGUGGGGAAUAUUGCACAAUGGGCGGAAGCCUGAUGCAGCAACGCCGCGUGCGGGAUGACGGCCUUCGGGUUGUAAACCGCUUUCGCCUGUGACGAAGCGUGAGUGACGGUAAUGGGUAAAGAAGCACCGGCUAACUACGUG
This 468-nucleotide ribosomal RNA is filed under the name uncultured bacterium. RNAcentral's name for it is "partial 16S ribosomal RNA". It matches the Rfam family "Bacterial small subunit ribosomal RNA", at positions 28 to 507 of the family's 1533-position model. The record is from RNAcentral.